RNAcentral lists this non-coding RNA (195 nucleotides) under Geomicrobium sp. RNAcentral's name for it is "T-box sequence". It matches the Rfam family "T-box leader". From Rfam's summary of the family: Uncharged tRNA acts as the effector for transcription antitermination of genes in the T-box leader family. The record is from RNAcentral. Lineage: Bacteria; Bacillati; Bacillota; Bacilli; Caryophanales.
GGUAACGCGAUGAUGGCAACGAAGUAGUUUCUUGUGUACAGGUCCAGAGAGUCGACGGUCGCUGCAAGUCGAUCCGGCGCAAGAGAUGAAUUACAUUGCUUGAGCUUUCUAGGAAACGUAUACUCUGCGUUAAAGAGCCGAGUGGAGAGCGGAAGUUCUCAACAAGGGUGGUACCGCGAUACGUUCGUCCUUUUU